This 115-nucleotide ribosomal RNA is filed under the name Pteropus alecto (black flying fox). Lineage: Eukaryota; Metazoa; Chordata; Mammalia; Chiroptera; Pteropodidae. The record is from RNAcentral.
GUCUACAGCCAUGCCACCCCGAACAAGUCUUAUCUCGGAAGCUAAGCAGGGUCGGGCCUGGUUAGUACUUGGACGGGAGACCACCUAGGAUGGUGUACACUAGAUGCUGUAGGUG